AUUGAACGCUGGCGGCAGGCUUAACACAUGCAAGUCGAGCGGGGUGAUGGUGCUUGCACUAUCACUUAGCGGCGGACGGGUGAGUAAUGCUUAGGAAUCUGCCUAUUAGUGGGGGACAACGUCUCGAAAGGGAUGCUAAUACCGCAUACGUCCUACGGGAGUAAGCAGGGGAUCACUUGUGACCUUUCGCUAAUAGAUGAGCCUAAGUCGGAUUAGCUAGUUGGUGGGGUAAAGGCCUACCAAGGCGACGAUCUGUAGCGGGUCUGAGAGGAUGAUCCGCCACACUGGGACUGAGACACGGCCCAGACUCCUACGGGAGGCAGCAGUGGGGAAUAUUGGACAAUGGGGGGAACCCUGAUCCAGCCAUGCCGCGUGUGUGAAGAAGGCCUUAUGGUUGUAAAGCACUUUAAGCGAGGAGGAGGCUCUUUUGGUUAAUACCCAAGAUGAGUGGACGUUACUCGCAGAAUAAGCACCGGCUAACUCUGUGCCAGCCGCCGCCGUAA
RNAcentral lists this ribosomal RNA (503 nucleotides) under uncultured bacterium. Its description in RNAcentral is "partial 16S ribosomal RNA". It matches the Rfam family "Bacterial small subunit ribosomal RNA", at positions 30 to 523 of the family's 1533-position model. The record is from RNAcentral.